RNAcentral lists this unclassified non-coding RNA (259 nucleotides) under fungal sp. RNAcentral describes it as "partial internal transcribed spacer region". The stretch from base 1 to 46 matches the Rfam family "Eukaryotic small subunit ribosomal RNA", at positions 1786 to 1831 of the family's 1831-position model. Lineage: Eukaryota; Fungi. The record is from RNAcentral.
AAGUCGUAACAAGGUUUCCGUAGGUGAACCUGCGGAAGGAUCAUUAUGAGAACGAGACCGUCAGGUCGAGUUAUAUGUGCUACUGGGUGCCCGUCAGGGUGCCCUUUGGGGUAUUCGCAAGAGUACUCUUUGUGUGGUCAGAUGGGUUGGAGUAACACCCUUCCCGCCUACCACUCGAUACCAUACACACCCAUACCCACACCACUUACACCUAGUUGAAAAACUUGCAAAACUUUUAGCAAUGGAUCUCUAGGCUCCU